RNAcentral lists this ribosomal RNA (467 nucleotides) under uncultured bacterium. RNAcentral describes it as "partial 16S ribosomal RNA". It matches the Rfam family "Bacterial small subunit ribosomal RNA", at positions 30 to 507 of the family's 1533-position model. The record is from RNAcentral.
GCGAACGCUGGCGGCGUGCUUAACACAUGCAAGUCGAACGGAAAGGCCCUGCUUUUGUGGGGUGCUCGAGUGGCGAACGGGUGAGUAACACGUGAGUAACCUGCCCUUGACUUUGGGAUAACUUCAGGAAACUGGGGCUAAUACCGGAUAGGAGCUCCUGCUGCAUGGUGGGGGGUGGAAAGGUUCGGCGGUUGGGGAUGGACUCGCGGCUUAUCAGCUUGUUGGUGGGGUAGUGGCUUACCAAGGCUUUGACGGGUAGCCGGCCUGAGAGGGUGACCGGCCACAUUGGGACUGAGAUACGGCCCAGACUCCUACGGGAGGCAGCAGUGGGGAAUAUUGCACAAUGGGCGGAAGCCUGAUGCAGCAACGCCGCGUGCGGGAUGACGGCCUUCGGGUUGUAAACCGCUUUCGCCUGUGACGAAGCGUGAGUGACGGUAAUGGGUAAAGAAGCACCGGCUAACUACGUG